AGUGAACGCUGGCGGUAGGCCUAACACAUGCAAGUCGAACGGCAGCACAGUAAGAGCUUGCUCUUACGGGUGGCGAGUGGCGGACGGGUGAGGAAUACAUCGGAAUCUACUUUUUCGUGGGGGUUCACGUAGGGAAACUUACGCUAAUACCGCAUACGACCUACGGGUGAAAGCAGUGGAUCUUCGGACCUUGCGCGAUUGAAUGAGCCGAUGUCGGAUUAGCUAGUUGGCGGGGUAAAGGCCCACCAAGGCGACGAUCCGUAGCUGGUCUGAGAGGAUGAUCGGCCACACUGGAACUGAGACACGGUCCAGACUCCUACGGGAGGCAGCAGUGGGGAAUAUUGGACAAUGGGCGCAAGCCUGAUCCAGCCAUACCGCGUGGGUGAAGAAGGCCUUCGGGUUGUAAAGCCCUUUUGUUGGGAAAGAAAAGCAGCAGGUUAAUACCCCGCUGUUCUGACGGUACCCAAAGAAUAAGCACCGGCUAACUUCGUG
Molecule: ribosomal RNA, 492 nt
Filed under: uncultured bacterium
Lineage: Bacteria
Description: partial 16S ribosomal RNA
Rfam family: Bacterial small subunit ribosomal RNA
Source: RNAcentral